GUGCCAGCGCCGCGGUAAUACGUAGGGGGCAAGCGUUGUCCGGAUUUACUGGGUGUAAAGGGCGCGCAGGCGGAAUGGAAAGUCAGUGGUGAAAUCCUACAGCUUAACUGUAGAACUGCCUUUGAUACUUUCAUUCUUGAGUUCGGGAGAGAGAGACGGAAUUCCAGGUGUAGUGGUGAAAUACGUAGAUAUCUGGAAGAACACCAGUUGCGAAGGCGGUCUCUUGGUCCGAUACUGACGCUGAGGCGCGAAAGCGUGGGGAGCAAACAGG
This 271-nucleotide ribosomal RNA is filed under the name uncultured bacterium. RNAcentral's name for it is "partial 16S ribosomal RNA". It matches the Rfam family "Bacterial small subunit ribosomal RNA", at positions 505 to 776 of the family's 1533-position model. The record is from RNAcentral.